UCACUUAGAGGAGGUUCAGCUACCCCGUGGAAGAGGUCAUCGGAGGGGAGAGAUGGAGCGAGAGAACCCACAGCCCACACGGAGAAAGUAAGACGGAUCUUAACAGUAUCUCACGCACUAACUCAGAACCUCCAGGGAAAGAUCUACUUAUUUUAUGAGGGAGAGAAGUUACUGCUAUCGGCACAAAAGGCCAAGGGAACAGCUCACUCACAGAAGUACCUCCAGCAAAAAACGAAUGUGUUUGUGUCUGCCUCCAUCUCUACUAAAGACAAAGAUACCAAUCCUCACAGACCAAUACCCGGCUGUCUACUAGGGUUUGUCCUCUUUCAUAAAGAAAGCCAAGGCUGGACUCCACUCAUGAGAAACCUCGACUCUCCAAAGUUUCAGAACUUGGUUCUUUGGAGCAGAUUCGCCAUUUUCCCCAAGGAAAUAGAUUAACAAAUCUCUCAGACCUCACCAGGGGAGUUUCUUUGUGCAGUGGAUGGGAGCUAAUUUAAGAAACUCACAGCUAAUCAGCAUGCAGAGAAUAAAGGGAUAUGGCAUCACCGUGAAAAUCAAAUCCAACGGCUCAGCCGUGGUUGGCAUGGACACAUUUCUGGUUCUUUCCGGCACCACUGUCUUCUAUGUCCCAGGCCUCUGACUCCUGUCAUUAGCAGGACAGGGUUGGUCAUUGUUGUUCCUGCACCUCAGAUGAUUCUCCUGCAAUAGCACCAAGGACCUUGAAUCAUGUAAAGAGAUCGAAUCUAUGCAUAGAAGAAUGGACUGCAGCCCUCUGGGAAAUGAGCCCUUCCUCCCCCAAGUUGUUUUUGCCUGGGUGUCAUAGCAAGAAAAAGUAACUAGGACACCCACAAAAAGCUGGAAAUGUACAGUGAACAUGAAAUACUGCCAAUUAGCAUUAACCAAGUUUAUUCAUGUAUAUACACACAAACAUAAACACACAGAUUGGUGAGCUAUCUCAAAGCAGGUUGUAGAUAUAUUUUUUCUCCCAAACUGCAGUGUAUAUGUCUCAUAAGCAAGGAUCUUACCCUAUAUCACUAGGUGGUUCCUAGGAAAUGCAAAUCAAAUUAUGUAAUUCCUUUGCUAAAAAUUCUCC
This is a non-coding RNA of Peromyscus maniculatus bairdii (prairie deer mouse), 1093 nucleotides long. The record is from RefSeq and is a predicted model, not a curated record. NCBI's taxonomy places the organism in Eukaryota, Metazoa, Chordata, Mammalia, Rodentia, Cricetidae.